Molecule: non-coding RNA, 26 nt
Filed under: Homo sapiens (human)
Lineage: Eukaryota; Metazoa; Chordata; Mammalia; Primates; Hominidae
Source: RNAcentral
UGCAGGGCCUAAGGCCGUUUGGAUGA